Molecule: transfer RNA, 27 nt
Filed under: Cottus immaculatus (knobfin sculpin)
Lineage: Eukaryota; Metazoa; Chordata; Actinopteri; Perciformes; Cottidae
Description: partial tRNA-Glu
Source: RNAcentral
GUUCUUGUAGUUGAAUAACAACGGUGG